UGUGUGUGUAUGUGUGAAAGUAAUUAGGAUAGAUGAUUAGUCUUCUCUCUCCUCACCUCUUUUCUCUUUUCCUCCCUCUCUCCACGCCAAGUUCCUCCUUCACUGUGAAGUUUUUCAACAGCCCUAUACUCCCACCGAUCAGCCACCGCGACUCCUCCGGCCACUCCACCGUGAAACAUGUAAAACACUCCACCAAUCCAAGCUCUCAAUUCCCCAUUCUUCCUCUCAAUUUUGGAGCUUAGGUUGCAAACUCACCUCCACUUAUCUUUAGAAAAUAGUUGAAAUUAGAGAGUAUAGAAGCGAGUGAACUCGCUAGUUGGCAGCAGUACGUGUCAAGUCACUACCCGCUUUUUGCUGGUAAAGUUGGAGUUUACACGUAGCAUGCUUAGGUUAUCUUUUGUUUGUAAAUAGUUGGGUUACAAAUGUGAGGUUAGAACCUUCUUUUGCUAAUGGGGAUGUAAAUAACUAUCGAAGCAAGUUAUCGAUAUUUUGUGCCCAUCACCCGUAGCAAAAAUGUCUAGGUAAGGAAGUCUAGAUUUUUGUUCAUCUGUUGAAUUUCUUUGUAUUUAAAGUUGGUUCCAUCGCUAAAGCAAAUGAAAAGAUACUUUUCUUCAA
Salvia splendens (bonfire salvia) is the source of this 615-nucleotide long non-coding RNA. RefSeq lists it as uncharacterized. The transcript is spliced from 2 exons. The record is from RefSeq and is a predicted model, not a curated record. Lineage: Eukaryota; Viridiplantae; Streptophyta; Magnoliopsida; Lamiales; Lamiaceae.